RNAcentral lists this ribosomal RNA (433 nucleotides) under uncultured bacterium. Its description in RNAcentral is "partial 16S ribosomal RNA". It matches the Rfam family "Bacterial small subunit ribosomal RNA", at positions 29 to 507 of the family's 1533-position model. The record is from RNAcentral.
AACGAACGCUGGCGGCAUGCCUAACACAUGCAAGUCGAACGAGACCUUCGGGUCUAGUGGCGCACGGGUGCGUAACGCGUGGGAACCUGCCCUUAGGUUCGGAAUAACUCCCCGAAAGGGGUGCUAAUACCGGAUAAUGUCUUCGGACCAAAGAUUUAUCGCCUUAGGAUGGGCCCGCGUUGGAUUAGCUAGUUGGUAGGGUAAAAGCCUACCAAGGCGACGAUCCAUAGCUGGUCUGAGAGGAUGAUCAGCCACACUGGGACUGAGACACGGCCCAGACUCCUACGGGAGGCAGCAGUGGGGAAUAUUGGACAAUGGGCGAAAGCCUGAUCCAGCAAUGCCGCGUGAGUGAUGAAGGCCUUAGGGUUGUAAAGCUCUUUUACCCGGGAUGAUAAUGACAGUACCGGGAGAAUAAGCGCCGGCUAACUCCGUG